AUUGCAAUUACUCCUAAUCCCUAUUAGGGAUUGAAAC
Desertifilum sp. is the source of this 37-nucleotide non-coding RNA. NCBI's taxonomy places the organism in Bacteria, Bacillati, Cyanobacteriota, Cyanophyceae, Desertifilales, Desertifilaceae. The record is from Rfam.